CCUACGGGAGGCAGCAGUGGGGAAUAUUGCACAAUGGGGGAAACCCUGAUGCAGCGACGCCGCGUGAGUGAAGAAGUAUUUCUGUAUGUAAAGCUCUGUCAGCAGGGAAGAAAAUGACGGUACUUGACAAAGAAGCCCCGGCCAACUACGUGCCAGCAGCCGCGGUAAUACGCAGGGGGCAAGCGUUAUCCGGAUUUACUGGGUGUAAAGGGAGCGUAGACGGCAGGGCAAGUCUGGUGUGAAAGGCGGGGGCUCAACCCCCGGACUGCUCUGGAAACUGGCAGGCUGGAGUGCAGGAGAGGGGAGUAGAAUUCCUGGUGUAGCGGUGAAAUGCGUAGAUAUUAGGAGGAACACCAGUGGCGAAGGCGGCUUACUGGACUGUAACUGACGUUGAGGUGCGAAAGCGUGGGGAGCAAACAGGAUUAGAUACCCUUGUAGUC
This 440-nucleotide ribosomal RNA is filed under the name uncultured bacterium. RNAcentral's name for it is "partial 16S ribosomal RNA". It matches the Rfam family "Bacterial small subunit ribosomal RNA", at positions 338 to 795 of the family's 1533-position model. The record is from RNAcentral.